This is a non-coding RNA of Paramuricea clavata, 871 nucleotides long. Lineage: Eukaryota; Metazoa; Cnidaria; Anthozoa; Malacalcyonacea; Plexauridae. The record is from the annotation of a GenBank genome assembly.
GUUAUUUUGGACAGUCUGGAGUGUCAUAGUUGCAAAUUGAAAAAAAAACACAAGUUGCAUGCCGGGUAAUUUUUCUCACAUGGCAACUGGAUAAGAGGUCAUGAUUAUUCUGUUCCCCGGUUAUGAUUUUCAAAAAAUAACCUGUUAUACUAAGUUUUUAACACUGAACAGAUGCGUGAAGAACUCACUUGCAAUAUAUAUAUUCUAACUACCAUGAGGAUAUUACGCUGAAACAAUAAUGACGAGUUUAUAAUUUCGGUUUGAUGAGAUACUAGAGCUACAAUCUUGGACAUAUUAUUGAUUGCAUGAGACUACUUUUCCCCUUUAUACAAAAUUCGAUAGAUUUUAUGCUAAUUUUUCAGAACAUUUAGCUCAGGGAAGCCAUACCACCUUUUCAGGACAAGGCCGGAAAAUUUGUUCGGACGUGUGUGCGGCCGCCAAGGCAAACUUUGACAAGUGUUCAAGAAAUACUUCUACAUAAUGAAGAUAAAUAUUUGACAACAUUCUGUGCAACAAAACCCUCAAGGGAAACUGUUAAAGGAAAACUGUCUGUACCAGUGUAGGUAGUACCAAUGUGAAAAUGCUGUGCUGAGUGGUUAUAUCACUACCUUAAAGAGUUUCUGCUUGUUUUUGUUGAAGGAAAACUCGUUGACCCUACACACGAGAACGUAAACUUGUCAAGAAAAAUUUGACAAUAAACGUGGCCAUAUUAAAGUGUAUCGAAAACCGGCAUAUUGUGUACCAGGAUACUACUACACACAGUAAAAAUUGUCACAGUAAAAUUUGUUAAUAUUGCAUGUAUACAGACUCACAUAGCAAAUAAAACUUGCCACAUAAAAACUUCUCAUAGAAAACGUGCUCGUCUGUAACC